UUCCGGUUGAUCCUGCCGGACCUGACUGCUAUCGGAUUGAUACUAAGCCAUGCGAGUCAUUGUAGCAAUACAAGGCAGACGGCUCAGUAACGCGUAGUCAACCUAACCUAUGGACGGGAAUAACCUCGGGAAACUGAGAAUAAUGCCCGAUAGAACACUAUGCCUGGAAUGGUUUGUGUUCCAAAUGAUUUAUCGCCGUAGGAUGGGACUGCGGCCUAUCAGUUUGUUGGUGAGGUAAAGGCCCACCAAGACUAUUACAGGUACGGGCUCUGAGAGGAGUAGCCCGGAGAUGGGUACUGAGACACGGACCCAGGCCCUAUGGGGCGCAGCAGGCGAGAAAACUUUGCAAUGUGCGAAAGCACGACAAGGUUAAUCCGAGUGGUUUCUGCUAAAGGAACCUUUUGUCGGUCCUAGAAACACCGAUGAAUAAGGGGGUGGGGCAAGUUCUGGUGUCAGCCGCCGCGGUAAAACCCAGCACCUCAAAGUGGGUCAGGAUGAUUUAUUUGGGCCUAAAGCAUCCCGUAGCCUGCUUUGUUAGUUUUCGGUUAAAUCUAUACGCUCAACGUAUAGGCUGCCGGGAAUACUGCAAAGCUAGGGAGUGGGAGAGGUAGACGGUACUCGGUAGGAAGGGGUAAAAUCCUUUGAUCUAUUGAUGACCACCUGUGGCGAAGGCGGUCUACCAGAACACGUCCGACGGUGAGGGAUGAAAGCUGGGGGAGCAAACCGGAUUAGAUACCCGGGUAGUCCCAGCCGUGAACCAUGCAAACUCAGUGAUGCAUUGGCUUGUGGCCAAUGCAGUGCUGCAGGGAAGCCGUUAAGUUUGCCGCCUGGGAAGUACGUACGCAAGUAUGAAACUUAAAGGAAUUGGCGGGGGAGCACCACAAGGGGUGAAGCCUGCGGUUCAAUUGGAGUCAACGCCGGA
RNAcentral lists this ribosomal RNA (922 nucleotides) under uncultured archaeon. Its description in RNAcentral is "bacterial SSU rRNA". It matches the Rfam family "Archaeal small subunit ribosomal RNA", at positions 1 to 922 of the family's 1478-position model. The record is from RNAcentral.